Long non-coding RNA from Budorcas taxicolor (takin), 461 nucleotides. RefSeq lists it as uncharacterized. The transcript has 3 exons. Lineage: Eukaryota; Metazoa; Chordata; Mammalia; Artiodactyla; Bovidae. The record is from RefSeq and is a predicted model, not a curated record.
CUUUGCCACCCUAUGGACUACAGCCUGCCAGGCUCCUCUGUCCAUGGGAUUCUCCAGGCAAGAAUAUUCGAGUGGGUUGCCAUGCCCUUCUCCAGGGUAAUCUUUCUAACCCAGGGAUUGAACCUGCAUCUCCUGCACUGGUCCUGCUCUCAGCAGAAAUUUGGAGCCUCCUGAGUGACCAGCAUUAAUGCCCCACUUCCCCUCUUGCACAACUCCCAGCUUCUCGACUGCCCAGUGAUGGAAUUAUUGAUUGAUGUCAGGAGCAGUGGAGCACCACUGGCAGAAGAACCUGCCUCCCUGCUCCUUCAAAGGCCACAGGCCCAUGAGAACCAUUCACUGUAGCCUGAGCCACAUGCCUAGAGGCCACAGCAGUGCACAGGAAAGCGAGGGGAAGUGGAAACGUGCGAGCAGACUGCUCAAAGCAACGGGCUCACCACCGGAAAAAAAAAAUAAAAAUAAAC